GGGAAGUUCUAACAAGGUACCCGUAAAUCUUCACCUCGGGCCCCCCGCAUUGGGAGCGGCCUACGGGUGAGUAACGCGUGGGAACGUACCUUUUGCUACGGAAUAACUCAGGGAAACUUGUGCUAAUACCGUAUGUGCCCGAAAGGGGAAAGAUUUAUCGGCAAAGGAUCGGCCCGCGUUGGAUUAGCUAGUUGGUGAGGUAAAGGCUCACCAAGGCGACGAUCCAUAGCUGGUCUGAGAGGAUGAUCAGCCACACUGGGACUGAGACACGGCCCAGACUCCUACGGGAGGCAGCAGUGGGGAAUAUUGGACAAUGGGCGCAAGCCUGAUCCAGCCAUGCCGCGUGAGUGAUGAAGGCCCUAGGGUUGUAAAGCUCUGUCACCGGUGAAGAUAAUGACGGUAACCGGAGAAGAAGCCCCGGCUAACUUCGUGCCAGCAGCCGCGGUAAUACAAGGGGGCUAGCGUUGUUCGGAUUUACUGGGCGUAAAGCGCACGUAGGCGGAAUGAGUAUCGGGGUAAAAUCGCGGGGCUCACCCCGGAACUGCCUUUGAUACUGGAAUCUUGAUAUGGGAAAGGUGAGUGCAAUUCCAGUGAAGGUGAAAUUCUAGAUUCGGAGAACCCAGUGGCAAGGCGU
This 634-nucleotide ribosomal RNA is filed under the name Brucella tritici. RNAcentral's name for it is "bacterial SSU rRNA". It matches the Rfam family "Bacterial small subunit ribosomal RNA", at positions 41 to 724 of the family's 1533-position model. Lineage: Bacteria; Pseudomonadati; Pseudomonadota; Alphaproteobacteria; Hyphomicrobiales; Brucellaceae. The record is from RNAcentral.